GAUGAACGCUAGCGGCAGGCCUAACACAUGCAAGUCGCGGGGCAGCACAGAAACAGCAAUGUUUUGGUGGCGACCGGCGGACGGGUGCGUAACGCGUAUGCAACCUACCUUUAACAGGGGGAUAACGGAGAGAAAUUUCCACUAAUACCCCAUAACAUCGAUCAAGGCAACGUGAUUGGUUUAAAACUCCGGCGGCUCAAGAUAGGCAUGCGUUGUAUUAGGUAGUUGGUGAGGUAAUGGCUCACCAAGCCUACGAUACAUAGGUGGACUGAGAGGUUAGCCCCCCACACUGGUACUGAGACACGGACCAGACUCCUACGGGAGGCAGCAGUGAGGAAUAUUGGUCAAUGGGGGCAACCCUGAACCAGCCAUGCCGCGUGCAGGAAGACGGCUCUAUGAGUUGUAAACUGCUUUUAAACAGGGAUAAAGCACAGUAUGUAUACUGUGUUGAAGGUACUGUAAGAAUAAGGAUCGGCUAACUCCGUGCCAGCAGCCGCCGUAA
This 502-nucleotide ribosomal RNA is filed under the name uncultured bacterium. Its description in RNAcentral is "partial 16S ribosomal RNA". It matches the Rfam family "Bacterial small subunit ribosomal RNA", at positions 28 to 523 of the family's 1533-position model. The record is from RNAcentral.